CAAUAGUGAUUCCGUCAGUAGCGGCGAGCGAACGCGGAUUAGCCCAAACCAAGGAGCUUGCUCCUUGGGGUUGUGGGACGUCUCACAUGGAGUUACAAAGGAACCGGUUAGAUGAAGAGGUCUGGAAAGGCCCGCCAGAGAAGGUAAAAGCCCUGUAGUUCAAAACCCGUUCCCUCCGAGACGGAUCCCGAGUAGUGCGGGGCACGUGAAAUCCCGUAUGAAUCCGGCAGGACCAUCUGCCAAGGCUAAAUACUCCCUGGCGACCGAUAGUGAAGCAGUACCGUGAGGGAAAGGUGAAAAGCACCCCGGAAGGGGAGUGAAAUAGAUCCUGAAACCGUGUGCUUACAAGAAGUCAGAGCCCGAUCUAUGGGUGAUGGCGUGCCUUUUGUAGAAUGAACCGGCGAGUUACGUUCCCGUGCAAGGUUAAGGUGAAGAGCUGAAGCCGCAGCGAAAGCGAGUCUGAAUAGGGCGAAUGAGUACGUGGACGUAGACCCGAAACCGGGUGAUCUACCCCUGUCCAGGGUGAAGGUGCGGUAACACGCACUGGAGGCCCGAACCCACGCAUGUUGAAAAAUGCGGGGAUGAGGUGGGGGUA
RNAcentral lists this ribosomal RNA (595 nucleotides) under Paenibacillus sp. ICGEB2008. Its description in RNAcentral is "bacterial LSU rRNA". It matches the Rfam family "Bacterial large subunit ribosomal RNA", at positions 226 to 817 of the family's 2925-position model. The record is from RNAcentral. Lineage: Bacteria; Bacillati; Bacillota; Bacilli; Caryophanales; Paenibacillaceae.